Molecule: ribosomal RNA, 552 nt
Filed under: uncultured Glomeromycotina
Lineage: Eukaryota; Fungi; Glomeromycota
Description: SSU rRNA
Rfam family: Eukaryotic small subunit ribosomal RNA
Source: RNAcentral
UUGGAGGGCAAGUCUGGUGCCAGCAGCCGCGGUAAUUCCAGCUCCAAUAGCGUAUAUUAAAGUUGUUGCAGUUAAAAAGCUCGUAGUUGAAUUUCGGGGUUCAUCCGUUGGUCGGGCUUUUUUGGUCUGUACUGGCGUGAUGGAUUCCUACCUUCUGAAUAACCAGCAUGUCAUUAAUUUGGUGCGCUGGGGAAGCAGGACUGUUACCUUGAAAAAAUUAGAGUGCUUAAAGCAGGCUAUCGCCUGAAUACAUUAGCAUGGAAUAAUGAAAUAGGACGGCAUGGUUCUAUUUUGUUGGUUUCUAGGAUCACCGUAAUGAUUAAUAGGGAUAGUUGGGGGCAUUAGUAUUCAAUUGUCAGAGGUGAAAUUCUUGGAUUUAUUGAAGACUAACUUCUGCGAAAGCAUUUGCCAAGGAUGUUUUCAUUAAUCAAGAACGAAAGUUGGGGGAUCGAAGACGAUCAGAUACCGUCGUAGUCUUAACCAUAAACUAUGCCGACUAGGGAUCGGACGAUGUUAAUUUUUUAAUGACUCGUUCGGCGCCUUACGGGAAAC